RNAcentral lists this long non-coding RNA (303 nucleotides) under Physcomitrium patens. RNAcentral's name for it is "long non-coding RNA (PPAT_LNC009447)". Lineage: Eukaryota; Viridiplantae; Streptophyta; Bryopsida; Funariales; Funariaceae. The record is from RNAcentral.
UAGAAUCUUCUACAACUUCCUAGUGUAUGUCCUUGAUAUCACCUCCCUCCCCUUUUAGCUUCGAGGUCUCCAAGAAGUACUCCUAUUGCGAGUCAGUACCAACGUAAGAAGUUGAAAAUUUGUCACAUAGUGUCUACAGUAUACUCCAAUUAUUAUUUACAUGGCAAGUAGUUCAUUGAUCCUUAUAACCAAUGAUAAUGUCCUACGCCUUUGAUUUCUAACCAGGCAUGAACUUCAGUGUCUUCAUUGUAAAAAUGUCCUGCAAAUACUCCUUCGAAAAGAUCACCAUAGGCAAGUUCUACC